Molecule: long non-coding RNA, 5220 nt
Filed under: Falco tinnunculus (common kestrel)
Lineage: Eukaryota; Metazoa; Chordata; Aves; Falconiformes; Falconidae
Description: lncRNA (ENSFTIG00000002055.1)
Source: RNAcentral
GGGAUUCAGAAACAAUGGAGACGAUUGCUCGUGCUUGCAAGCUGAGUGCUCUACUAGAGAGCAGUGGCUGUAGUAGCUGCUACAGGACGGAGAGGGGUGGCUGUAGGUGACUGGCUGCACGCUGCAGUAACCCUGUACUCUCUGAGGGUGUUUGUGUAAAAGAUACAACUCUCAAAUUUCAGCAGGUCUUAGUUCUGUUUUGAAAAACCCUUGUAGAUGUAGAAAGACAGCCAGUGUGCUCCUUAGCUGAAGGUGAGUAUCUUAAUUUGAUGGUCAAGGAGGGAAGAGGAAUUAAUAUCUUGAUGCAUUGGUCAGGUAUGGCAGGUGCCUGUCAGAAUGAAUGGUGGAGUCAAAUCCUCUUCUAGUCUAGUGGUGGGACUGUGGCACGCUUUGUUAUUGCCUUAGUAUGAUGUUACGCGUGCCUUUGGUCUGAAAGAAAAAUCCUUCAGUCCUCUCAUAUGUGCAAUAAUCACCGAAUCUAAAUAGAUAUCCAUCUGAUACGUUAGACAUGUUUAAUAAGCUUAAUUGCACAAUAAAGCAGCAUGAUGAAUUUUGUUCAUGGAAAGCAGCNUUCCAGAUGAAAGAGAUGUCUGUAUAACACUUAUCCAGGUUUUUGUUUUGUCUUGUGAAGCUGCCUUCUUUAGUAUUCUAUUAGUUUGCAUAAGUAUGCUCAACUUUAAUGCAGUUUGGCCUAAUUUAUGUGUGCUCUGGCUGUAAUUGAAAUGUGCGUGUACAGAUCGUAUGUCAUCUUGUGAACCAACAGAACAAUCUGAAGGAAGCUUUUAAGUACUACACGGCUAGCCAAGUUGAUGGCUAUGUUUUUUGUCUCUCCUUUUUUUCUUUUCUUCCUAUUUUCAGAGUGGAGAGCAGGAAGUUUCUUUGAAGAAACCUGUUGGAAUGCCUCACAUCAAUGCAGCUGCAGCUCUGCGGAUCUGCGUGCUGCUGUCUGUGCUUCCUGCACAAUAUUUCAUAUCCCAGUGGUACGGAACAGACUCUGCGCAGUGCAUCCAAAUAACAGAAAAGUUGAAUCAUUGUUGGAUGGGACAUCAAAGCUAACUCUCCAGAAAAAUGGCUACAACACAAAUAUCCUCCAGCAAACCAGGGUCUAAAAGACAGUCUUAGCUGUGGAAUUCUAAUUAACAAAGCAAAUGGAUUUGGCAAAUCUACAGCUUACAUUCCUGAGGAAGAGAUAGCAAUUAUUAUGGGAUUAGAGGUAGUAUUUAUUUUUGAUUCAGUUGCAACUUGUUUGUUAUCCUGUAUUUAGAAGUUAGCUGACCUUUGACUUAAUAGAUACCAUCUAUUUUGCAAAGUUAGUGAAAACUAGUAGAGAAAGCAGAUAAACAAAUUACUGCUGUACUUCCAAGUAUGUGUUUUGGAAGACAGUAAAUGACCAAACCCAGGCACUGCCUACUUCAGAAUAUCCAACUGCCUAAUUUUGUAAGUGUUUUAGAGACUUGGCAUCUGUUAUGUGCAGGCUGUUGCAGACAUGGACUUUUGUUUUAGGAUUUCACUGGCCUAUCCAAGUCAUUUAAUCUCUGCUGAAUCUAGCAAAGUGUAUUGGUUUUUCAAUUCCACUCUGAAAAACCUGCGUUUCAAACAGCUCCUGCUCAGCUGCUGCCCAGACUGAAUGUCUCCUCUCUGGAGACAGAACUCUGUGGGAGCCAAAAAUUCUGAUUUGCUUAUCAUGGUCUGGGUAGCUUUUGACUUCUAGUUUAUGCAAGGUGCACCUCAUUCUUAAACUAGUCAGAGACUAAUCCAGAACACAGCCUUCAAGCAUGUAUGCCACAUACAAAUGGCUUUCUGCAAGGGAUCCAGUGCUAUUGUACUGUCCUCCAACUCAGGGGGACUAUAAGGAUGUAGUGAGGUUAUGCGGUGAGGAAAUUAGAAAGGCAAAAGCGCAGCUAGAACUUAAGUUGGCCAUUGCCUUCAGAGGUAACAAAAAAUGUUUUAACAAAUAUAUCAGAAACAAAAGGAGGGCCAAGGACGAUCUCCAUUCUUUAUUGGAUAGGGGGGUGGGGGAACAUUGCCACAAAGGAUGAGGAAAAGACAGGUACUUAUUGCCUUCUUUGCUUCAGUCUUUACCAGCAAGACCAGUUACCCUCAGGGUACUCAGCCCCCUGAGCUGGAAGACAGUGACAAGGAGGAGCAGGACGAAGACCCCACAGUCCAGGAGGAAACCUGCUGCUCCACUUAAGACAUGCACAAGUCUAUGGGACCCGAUAGGAUCCACCCAAAGGUACUGAGAGAGCUGGUGGAAGAGCUCACCAAGCCAUUCCCCAUCAUUUACAAACAGUCCUGGCUAACGAGGGAGGUCCCAGCAGACUGACAUCCAUCUACAAGAAGGGCAGGAUCCAGGCAACUACAGCCCUGUCAGCCUGACCUCGGUGCUGGGGAAGGUUAUGGACCAGGUCAUCCCGAGCGCCAUCGCACAGCACAUGCAGGACAGCCAGGGGAUCAGGCCCAGCCAGCUAGGGUUUAUGAAAGGCAGGUCCUGCUUGACUGACCUGAUCUUCUAAAACAAGGUGACCUGCUUAGUGGAUGAGGGAAAGGGUGUGGAUGUUGUCUACCUGGACCUUAGUAAAGCCUUUGACACCAUCUCCCACAGCAUUCUCCUGGAAAAACUGGCUGCUUAUGGCUUGGACAGUACUGCUCUACACUGCAUUAAAUGCUGGAUGGAUGCCCAAAGAGUGGUAGUAAAUGGAGUUACAUCCAGUUGGUGGCCGGUCACAAGCGGUGUUCCCCAGGGCUCAGCACUGGGGCCAGUCCUGUUUAAUGUCCUUAUCAAUGAUCUGGAUGAGGGGAUCGAGUGCACCCUCGGUGAGUUUGCAGACAACACCAAGCUGGAGGGCAGUUAUCGAUCUGCUUGAGGGCAGGAAGGCUCUGCAGAAGGAUUUGGUCAGGCUGGACUGAUGGGCCAAGCCAACUGUAUGAGGUUCGACAAGGUUCAGUGCCAGGUCCUGCACUUGUAACGGGCUGCCCAGGGAGGUGGUGGAAUCACCAUGCCUGGAGCUGUUUAAAAGAUGUGUAGAUGUGGUGCUUAGCGAUGUGGUUUGGUAGUCCUGUGUUAAUGGUUGGACUUGAUGUCAAAGGUCCUUUGCAACCUAAAUGAUUCUAUGAUUCUAUUGUGGAUGCCUUUUAAAUUGUGGAUAGUGGCAGUAUCUGUAUUGAAAGUAACAGCAAGUAGCUGAACCGUUCAUCUAACAGGAGAUGCUUGGUCUAGUCAAACAGAGGAGAUUCAAUUGGCAUCUUUUGCCUUUCAGGAGAACCCCACAAGGACUUGUCUAAGUUAGGCUGGCCUGAAGACUCUCCAUGCUCUCUCUUGGAACUGUGCCAUUGCACAUAAAGGAUCCUCUCAAUCAGUGGGGCCGAACAGUAUGACACCCUUGCCUCUUUUCUCUGGGAGAAGCCUUAGUUCCAGUCCUUGUUUCUGUUUUAGCCACUGGUUGUAAUAUAAAAUGUGCUAACGUGCCUGAACCUAGGAGCAGGAACUAUGCUGUCCCAGAUAAGCAUCACAAGUAUUUAAAAUUGGGUUUUGACCACUCUAACUUAUGUGUCUGAAAAAUGUGCCUUCUACUAUGUCAGUCAGCUGGCUACCAACAGUUACCUUUAUAGUCCAUGGGGAGAAACAGAUACCUCACCUUAAACAUUUACGUUGUGUAAACUAGCCUUUUAAUACCAGUUUGCUUCUGGUAUUCUCCCCGCAGUUUAUUAGGGGAACCGAUGGUUACAGGCUCACACAAUCAGGUAUUUGAAAACUGUCUAGUUGAGAUUAGUUUCAAAUGGUGAGUCAUGCCUAUACCUCAAGAUCAAAAGAAGGUCUGUGGAUUGCCUUCACUCAGCCUUUCCUAUAUCACAAUAGGCAAAGUAAUUUCCUGAAGAGUUGAGACUGAUGAGAAAAUGUUUACACUUGUCCUAACCCUUUCACAGUUGCCAGUUCUAACCCACUCACUGCAGGCUUUCUGCAUCAUGACAAGGCACAUAAGUGGGACUGCCCUUUGUGGAUCUGCAUCUUCAAGCUGAACGUUGUGGUACCUAAGGCCAUCAACUUUGUGUGUCUUCACCAUUUCUCUGACUGCUUCUUUACUGUUCCUGCUGCCUAAUUGGAUUAGGUAACUGAUCCAGUUGGAAAACAAAAAUGGUCUAUCAGCAACAAAUGGGUGGCAAGUACUUCAGUAAGAAACAGUGCUGAUUUUAAAACAUCAAUGCCAGUAUAGGUCUAGUGUGUCACACCUCAUGAGGUAUGUUCAAGAUUUGUGGAGUACUUUGAGGAAUGCUGACAUAAAUUAGGUUAAGGUACAUAGAAAAUCCCACUGAAGUAUCUCUAUGUAUAAAACGCUCUUAAAAACUAAUCGGGAGCUUUCAAAAAAUUAACUGUAGUGACUUUUAAUGAUUCUUUUAAAUAUCAGUUUGUAUUAAUUGCUAAUUCUGGUGCUUAUUCAACUUGAAAUACUGUCUCAGGUGCAUCACCCUGAUAGGAAAGCCUAUUUCAGUGGAUAUGGUGGAUCAAAAUACAUUAUGCAGCCAUGGCUGGGAAAAAUAUCUAGCCUCAUGACUGAUGUACUUAAGUGUUUGUACAUGUAAAGUACAUUUAGAAAACAUACUUCCUUUUUAAACUUGAGCAAACAGAUACCAGGAUAAAACUCAUGUACCUUUUUUUCUAUGAUGAAAUAAAACAUUGCUAAGCAUGUUUUGAGUAAUUCAUUUCAUUAUAAGCAAACAUACUGCACAUUCAGUUUACUGUAACUCAGGGCAGGCAUUAAAUUCCUUCCACAUUUGGUUUAAAUAUAGCCUGGCUUCAGCAAGGAAUAGCAAAGGUUCUGCACAUCAAACAUCUUGCCCUUUUACAGAGGGCAGAGGAAGAAACUAAACAGUUAAGAACUGUACUUACAAUUAAUUGUAACCUUAAUUUUAGGGAAUAGAGCUAAAUAAGGGCCAACAGGAACUAAAAUAUUUCUGGGGAGAGCUGUUAUAAGUAAAUCCUUCAAUACUUUGAUAGCUCUCUCUACAAAAACACACAUUGCACUGCUUUCAAAUGGUACAUGCAAAGGAAGAGUUAAUCUAAGUUUUUGCACAUGGACAGAUACAUCAAGAAACCUACUUUGGCUUACUACACAAAUUUCAUUCUUGAUGUUCUCUCUUAACUCUACUUGCUACCAUAAGAAUAAAGUAAAAACAACAACAAAAAAACCCAAAGCAAGCAUAAAAACUUUAUUAAGAAAA